RNAcentral lists this ribosomal RNA (253 nucleotides) under uncultured bacterium. RNAcentral describes it as "partial 16S ribosomal RNA". It matches the Rfam family "Bacterial small subunit ribosomal RNA", at positions 524 to 776 of the family's 1533-position model. The record is from RNAcentral.
UACGUAGGUGGCAAGCGUUGUCCGGAUUUACUGGGCGUAAAGAGCGCGCAGGCGGUCGUUCAAGUCGCGUGUGAAAGCCCCCGGCUCAACUGGGGAGGGUCACGCGAUACUGAUCGACUCGAAGGCAGGAGAGGGUAGUGGAAUUCCCGGUGUAGUGGUGAAAUGCGUAGAGAUCGGGAGGAACACCAGAGGCGAAGGCGGCGACCUGGAGAGUGACUGACACUCAACUGCGAAAGCGUGGGGAGCAAACAGG